Diceros bicornis minor is the source of this 635-nucleotide long non-coding RNA. RefSeq lists it as uncharacterized. Lineage: Eukaryota; Metazoa; Chordata; Mammalia; Perissodactyla; Rhinocerotidae. The record is from RefSeq and is a predicted model, not a curated record. The transcript has 3 exons.
GAUCAGCUGCUUGAACCAUUUGUCUUUCUCCACAGGUCAACAGUGUUGCCCAGAACAAAUGAAUUUUACAUCUUCUCAAACUCAAUAGAGCAAAGAUGGAACAUCAUUCCCCCUGCAAGCCUUACUGCCCUAGAGAAAAGCAAAAACAACUUGCGACAUCUAAUUUUUUCUCCACAUUCUCAUCUCAAAUUGCAACUGUUUUCCAGAUGCUAACUGGUUUUCAUUCUUAAAACUGACAGAAAUUUUUCUCAUUAUUUCUUUUUCUUUCAUUUUUUGUGAGGAAGAUCAGCCCUGAGCUAACUUCUGAUGCCAAUCUUCCUCUUUGUGCUGAGGAAUAUUGUCCCUGGAUUAACAUCUGUGUCCAUCUUCCUCUACUUUAUAUGGUAUGCUACCAAAGCAUGGUUUGACAAGAGGGGUAUGGAGCUCCCAGACUUAUUAACUACAGGGAGAGAGUAAGAGUCAGAACACAUUCAAUAAACUCCAAUGUGCUCAAGUAAGAAGAAACUUCAUUGGCUACAAGGAAAGGAGAAGGUGUGAAAUUUAAAUUGAUGUAUUUCACCCUUGAAUGGCCAAGCUGUAACAUCAGGUGUUUUAAAUCACCUAGUUCAUCAGGUUUUCUGCUUAUUACUAUAUAU